RNAcentral lists this long non-coding RNA (212 nucleotides) under Medicago truncatula (barrel medic). RNAcentral's name for it is "lncRNA gene25151". Lineage: Eukaryota; Viridiplantae; Streptophyta; Magnoliopsida; Fabales; Fabaceae. The record is from RNAcentral.
GCAACAACCGAGCAACCUCACUAGAUUUCUGUGUUGGAGUUUAACUAAAAGUUUAAUUUCAUUCUUAAACUCUUCUUUGCCUUGACCUGAAUCUCUGGACAAUCUUUUCACUGCUAUCUCUUGUCCACUAACCAAGCAACCCUGAAAUGUUUACAGAACCAAAUCCACCUUGUCCAAGCUUAUUCUCAUGACCACAAUUUCUUGUAGCUGUC